AAACGGCACGGCAGCGGCGCUGCCAUCUUUGUAUUUAGCGUUUCGGCUUGGCGCCUUUCCUGUGUUGGUUAUUCACUGUCUGUAGUGGUCAUAGUGUUACACGUUUCAAAAUGGCUGGCGGUAAAGCGGGUAAAGAUUCUGGUAAGGCUAAGGCCAAAGCAGUAUCCAGAUCGGCGAGAGCUGGACUUCAGUUUCCCGUGGGAAGGAUUCACAGACAUCUCAAAAAUAGGACUACGAGUCAUGGACGUGUUGGAGCAACAGCAGCAGUGUAUUCUGCAGCUAUUCUUGAAUAUCUUACAGCCGAGGUUCUGGAGUUGGCGGGAAAUGCAUCUAAAGAUCUUAAGGUGAAGCGUAUCACACCGCGUCAUUUGCAGCUGGCCAUCCGAGGAGACGAGGAACUUGACAGUUUGAUAAAGGCCACAAUCGCUGGUGGCGGUGUCAUCCCUCACAUACACAAAUCGCUGAUUGGCAAGAAAGGCGGUCCUGGCGCACCCGUUUAAAAAUAGGUCAGUGUCUCCUAAAGAUUAAUACAUAACUUCACGCCUGUCUCCCAUGGGGGUUAACUACAAUACCACCUUGCUGCAUUUGACUCCGGACAUGUUUUCUAUGAAACUCAGCUGAUUGACAAAUUGUUUCAUAAAUGUUAGUGACAUUAACAGUGGAGUGUUUCCAGGGAACUGUUGUGUCCGGACUAAAUCGUUUAGUAGUUUAUAAGUACUAGAAAUAUUUUAGUGUUAAGAAGAUUUAAUAUGAUUGUUUGUGGGACAUGAUAUUUUUCUAACAUGAUUGUUUGAUUGAUGAACAACUUAUUAAAAUUAUUUGCUAUGUACCAGUUAAACCAGAUGUCUGCUAUUGUCUCAGAAGCUGGUGCAUCUUGAUUUUUAGUUAACAUUUUAGCAAGUUCUUUAUGAAUGUAAAUGACGAAUUGUAAUUUGGUAUGAAAGAAGUGUUACAAGUUGUACGAAAUGUAUUUUGAUCUUUGAAAUAUAUUGACAAAACACCUGU
Spodoptera litura is the source of this 1005-nucleotide RNA transcript. It is a transcript of the gene named Histone H2A variant, with no coding region annotated. The record is from RefSeq and is a predicted model, not a curated record. Lineage: Eukaryota; Metazoa; Arthropoda; Insecta; Lepidoptera; Noctuidae.